RNAcentral lists this ribosomal RNA (522 nucleotides) under uncultured euryarchaeote. RNAcentral's name for it is "bacterial SSU rRNA". It matches the Rfam family "Archaeal small subunit ribosomal RNA", at positions 349 to 878 of the family's 1478-position model. Lineage: Archaea; Methanobacteriati; Methanobacteriota. The record is from RNAcentral.
AUCAUGAAACGCGUAUGAGGGGAUUCCAAGUGCUAAUACUUUGUAUUAGCUGUUUACUUGCCUAAAAAGCAGGUAGAGUAAGGGCUGGGUAAGACUGGUGCCAGCCGCCGCGGUAAUACCAGCAGCUCAAGUGGUGAUCGUUUUUAUUGGGCCUAAAGCGUCCGUAGCCGGUUUGGUAAACCCUUGGGUAAAUCGGGCAGCUUAACUGUCCGACUUCUGAGGAGACUGCCAGACUUGGGACCGGGAGAGGUCAGAGGUACUUCUGGGGUAGGGGUGAAAUCCUGUAAUCCUAGAAGGACCACCAGUGGCGAAGGCGUCUGACUAGAACGGGUCCGACGGUAAGGGACGAAGCCCUGGGUCACGAACCGGAUUAGAUACCCGGGUAGUCCAGGGUGUAAACGCUGCGGGCUUGGUGUUGGGGGUCCUACGAGGGCGUCCAGUGCCGGAGAGAAGUUGUUAAGCCCGCCGCCUGGGGAGUACAUCAUGAAACAUCAUGAAACAUCAUGAAACAUCAUGAAACCA